Molecule: non-coding RNA, 778 nt
Organism: Nelumbo nucifera (sacred lotus)
Lineage: Eukaryota; Viridiplantae; Streptophyta; Magnoliopsida; Proteales; Nelumbonaceae
Source: RefSeq, a predicted model, not a curated record
UUCUCUUCCCUCCAACCAAAUAAACAGGUCUAUUCUCUUCCCUUCUUCGCUCUCUUUUGUGCUUGUUUGCUUUCAGAACGCAACCUCACCUCAGAGGAACUGAGCGAUUGAUUGGAAGUUUUGAACGUGAAAGGAGUCGGGAGUUAUUGGCGCUAGUAGCUGACGGUUUCAAGAGGAAUAGGAUUUCUAGGAGAAAAUGCGUGGAACCACUGCAAUAUCCCUUGUAAAGAACAUUCUCAAACAAGUAUACUGCCCAAUGAAGAGACGAUCAUCUGGGAUAAUGGCAACUUCGGCCCCUAGCAGGCAAUCAAACGAUGAUGUUGGGGAGGGAGAAGGACCCAUGACAGAUGACAAGGCGGAGCAGAGCCCAUCGUCGCCUUCAACAGACCUCCACUUCCACCUUUUCUCGGGCCUGUUGUUGUUCUCUCUUUGCUUGAAAUGGGGUCGCGCAGCAAUGACGACUGAGAUGUUUGUGAAAUUUCUUGUUCGGUACUUACUGGUGCAUUUGUGUAGGAGAUAGUUUGGUAAUGGCUCGUGAAAUGGUAGUCUGCCUUUAGUAACUGAGCUACAAAUGUUAAGAGGUUAAUGUAGCACUAAAACAUAGGAUGGAUAAAGGGCUCCGGCCUCCAGAAAUAUACUGUAAAUCUUCACACUUGUAGUAUACCGUCACCUGGGCUACUGUAGGAAAACCUGAAGGACCCAAACAUUACUAGUGUUUUAGCAUCAGUUUCUUCUGUAUGAUCUUUUGUGUUACUCUAGUUUAUCGAAGUUAAAAGUA